Molecule: transfer RNA, 73 nt
Filed under: Felis catus (domestic cat)
Lineage: Eukaryota; Metazoa; Chordata; Mammalia; Carnivora; Felidae
Rfam family: tRNA
About the family: Transfer RNA (tRNA) molecules are approximately 80 nucleotides in length. Their secondary structure includes four short double-helical elements and three loops (D, anti-codon, and T loops).
Source: Rfam by way of RNAcentral
ACCUGGCUGGUUCAGUUGGUAGAGCAUGUGACUCUUAAUCUCAAGGUGGUGAGUUCAAAUCCCAUGUUGGGCA